This 496-nucleotide ribosomal RNA is filed under the name uncultured bacterium. RNAcentral's name for it is "partial 16S ribosomal RNA". It matches the Rfam family "Bacterial small subunit ribosomal RNA", at positions 29 to 507 of the family's 1533-position model. The record is from RNAcentral.
AUGCACGCUGGCGGCGUGCCUAAUACAUGCAAGUCGAGCGAACGGACGAGAAGCUUGCUUCUCUGAUGUUAGCGGCGGACGGGUGAGUAACACGUGGAUAACCUACCUAUAAGACUGGGAUAACUUCGGGAAACCGGAGCUAAUACCGGAUGAUAUUUUGAACCGCAUGGUUCAAAAGUGAAAGACGGUCUUGCUGUCACUUAUAGAUGGAUCCGCGCUGCAUUAGCUAGUUGGUAAGGUAACGGCUUACCAAGGCAACGAUGCAUAGCCGACCUGAGAGGGUGAUCGGCCACACUGGAACUGAGACACGGUCCAGACUCCUACGGGAGGCAGCAGUAGGGAAUCUUCCGCAAUGGGCGAAAGCCUGACGGAGCAACGCCGCGUGAGUGAUGAAGGUCUUCUGAUCGUAAAACUCUGUUAUUAGGGAAGAACAUAUGUGUAAGUAACUGUGCACAUCUUGACGGUACCUAAUCAGAAAGCCACGGCUAACUACGUG